Molecule: ribosomal RNA, 271 nt
Filed under: uncultured archaeon
Lineage: Archaea
Description: partial 16S ribosomal RNA
Rfam family: Archaeal small subunit ribosomal RNA
Source: RNAcentral
CAGCGUCCCGAGUGGCGAUCCUGUUUAUUUGGCCUAAAGCGUCCGUAGCUGGUUUAGUAAAUCUUUUGUGAAAUUGUUUUGCUCAACGAAACAACGUGCAGGAGAGACUGCUUGACUAGGGACCGGGAGGAGUCAGAGAUAUAUCAGGGGGAGCGGUAAAAUGCUAUAAUCCCUGAUAGAUCACCUGUGGCGAAGGCGUCUGACUAGAACGGGUCCGACAGUGAGGGACGAAAGCUGGGGGAGCGAACCGGAUUAGAUACCCGAGUAGUCC